Molecule: ribosomal RNA, 803 nt
Filed under: uncultured bacterium
Lineage: Bacteria
Description: bacterial SSU rRNA
Rfam family: Bacterial small subunit ribosomal RNA
Source: RNAcentral
GUCGAGGGGCAGCGGGGUUGUAGCAAUACAACUGCCGGCGACCGGCGCACGGGUGAGUAACACGUAUGUAACCUGCCCUCUGCAGGGGGAUAAGCGGAAGAAAUUCCGUCUAAUACCGCAUAAUACAAUUUGGAGACAUCUCCGGGUUGUCAAAGGAGUGAUCCGGCAGAGGAUGGACAUGCGGCGCAUUAGCUAGUCGGCGGGGUAACGGCCCACCGAGGCUACGAUGCGUAGGGGUUCUGAGAGGAAGGUCCCCCACACUGGUACUGAGACACGGACCAGACUCCUACGGGAGGCAGCAGUGAGGAAUAUUGGUCAAUGGGCGGAAGCCUGAACCAGCCAAGUCGCGUGAGGGAAGACGGUCCUAUGGAUUGUAAACCUCUUUUGCAGGGGAGCAAGGCGCGGUACGUGUACCGCGAAGGAGAGUACCCUGAGAAAAAGCAUCGGCUAACUCCGUGCCAGCAGCCGCGGUAAUACGGAGGAUGCGAGCGUUAUCCGGAUUUAUUGGGUUUAAAGGGUGCGCAGGCGGACUGUUAAGUCAGCGGUAAAAUGUCGGUGCUCAACACCGGCCGGCCGUUGAAACUGGCAGCCUUGAGUGAGCGAGAAGUAUGCGGGAUGCGUGGUGUAGCGGUGAAAUGCAUAGAUAUCACGCAGAACUCCGAUUGCGAAGGCAGCAUACCGGCGCUCAACUGACGCUCAGGCACGAAAGCGUGGGUAUCGAACAGGCUUAGAUACCCUGGUAGUCCACGCAGUAAACGAUGAAUGCUCACUGUCCGGGCCGUUUAAGGCCUGGGUGGUCAAGC